RNAcentral lists this ribosomal RNA (941 nucleotides) under uncultured Flavobacteriaceae bacterium. RNAcentral's name for it is "bacterial SSU rRNA". It matches the Rfam family "Bacterial small subunit ribosomal RNA", at positions 55 to 1002 of the family's 1533-position model. The record is from RNAcentral. Lineage: Bacteria; Pseudomonadati; Bacteroidota; Flavobacteriia; Flavobacteriales; Flavobacteriaceae.
AUGCAAGUCGAGGGGUAUUAGUUUUCGGACUAAGAGACCGGCGCACGGGUGCGUAACGCGUAUGCAAUCUACCUUUCACAAAGGGAUAGCCCAGAGAAAUUUGGAUUAAUACCUUAUAGUAUAACGACUUCGCAUGGAGAUGUUAUUAAAGAUUUAUCGGUGAAAGAUGAGCAUGCGUCCCAUUAGCUAGUUGGUAAGGUAACGGCUUACCAAGGCUACGAUGGGUAGGGGUCCUGAGAGGGAGAUCCCCCACACUGGUACUGAGACACGGACCAGACUCCUACGGGAGGCAGCAGUGAGGAAUAUUGGUCAAUGGGCGCAAGCCUGAACCAGCCAUGCCGCGUGCAGGAUGACGGUCCUAUGGAUUGUAAACUGCUUUUGUACAGGAAGAAACACUCCCUCGUGAGGGAGCUUGACGGUACUGUAAGAAUAAGGAUCGGCUAACUCCGUGCCAGCAGCCGCGGUAAUACGGAGGAUCCAAGCGUUAUCCGGAAUCAUUGGGUUUAAAGGGUCCGUAGGCGGCUUAAUAAGUCAGUGGUGAAAGCCCUACGCUUAACGUAGGAACGGCCAUUGAUACUGUUAGGCUUGAAUUAUUAGGAAGUAACUAGAAUAUGUAGUGUAGCGGUGAAAUGCUUAGAGAUUACAUGGAAUACCAAUUGCGAAGGCAGGUUACUACUAAUGGAUUGACGCUGAUGGACGAAAGCGUGGGUAGCGAACAGGAUUAGAUACCCUGGUAGUCCACGCCGUAAACGAUGGAUACUAGCUGUUGGGAGCAAUCUCAGUGGCUAAGCGAAAGUGAUAAGUAUCCCACCUGGGGAGUACGAACGCAAGUUUGAAACUCAAAGGAAUUGACGGGGGCCCGCACAAGCGGUGGAGCAUGUGGUUUAAUCCGAUGAUACGCGAGGAACCUUACCAAGGCUUAAAUGUAGUUUGACCGAUUU